UACAGAGCCCUCGAACGUUGUCCGGAUUCAUUGGGCGUAAAGCGUCCGCAGGUGGCUUUGUCAGUCAUUGGUCAAAUCCUGAGGCUUAACUUCAGGACUGCUGAUGAUACUGCAUGGCUCGAGGUUGGGAGAGGCAAGCGGAACUAUCGGUGUAGUCGUAAUAAGCGCUGAUAUCGAUAGGAACACCAAAGGCGAAGGCAGCUUGCUGGAACAUACCUGACACUCAUGGACGAAAGCGUGGGGAGCGAAAGGG
Molecule: unclassified non-coding RNA, 253 nt
Filed under: Patescibacteria group bacterium
Lineage: Bacteria
Description: contains 16S-23S intergenic spacer region
Rfam family: Bacterial small subunit ribosomal RNA
Source: RNAcentral